AAACGACUCUCGGCAACGGAUAUCCCGGCUCUCGCAUCGAUGAAGAACGUAGCGAAAUGCGAUACUUGGUGUGAAUUGCAGAAUCCCGUGAACCAUCGAGUCUUUGAACGCAAGUUGCGCCCGAAGCCAUUAGGUCGAGGGCACGUCUGCCUGGGCGUCUC
RNAcentral lists this ribosomal RNA (161 nucleotides) under Stewartia pteropetiolata. RNAcentral describes it as "5.8S ribosomal RNA". It matches the Rfam family "5.8S ribosomal RNA". From Rfam's summary of the family: 5.8S ribosomal RNA (5.8S rRNA) is a component of the large subunit of the eukaryotic ribosome. It is transcribed by RNA polymerase I as part of the 45S precursor that also contains 18S and 28S rRNA. Lineage: Eukaryota; Viridiplantae; Streptophyta; Magnoliopsida; Ericales; Theaceae. The record is from RNAcentral.